Numida meleagris (helmeted guineafowl) is the source of this 866-nucleotide long non-coding RNA. RefSeq lists it as uncharacterized. Lineage: Eukaryota; Metazoa; Chordata; Aves; Galliformes; Numididae. The record is from RefSeq and is a predicted model, not a curated record. The transcript has 3 exons.
GUGGCACUGCACCACAGGGACACUCACAUUACUCUGCUUUUCAAGCUAGGCAGCUGAAAAAGGCUGGUAUUUUAACAUCAGGCAUUGUGGCCAGACUCAAAAGGGAAGUCUGGCCUGGAGAAACAAACUCCCAGAGCCAAGGUGAGGCCAACAGUGAAGCUGCUUUCAUUUUAAUAGGGAUAGGAAGUCACCUCAGCAAGCAGCCAAGGAUAGAUACAUCAGGCUGACCUGGGAACACUGUAACUUCCAUUACUGUAAGUUCAUUUCCUCUCAAACCUGCUGGCAGGCCCAUGGAACUGGAGAAGGCUAGGCUGCAGUCCUGGCCACAGCAGGUGCUGUGCAGGCCCUGCUGCACCACAGGUACAGCCUCGGUGCGCAGCAAUGAGAGGCAAUAUUGAUGCCUCUAAUGAUUGUCUGGCCUCAUUGUUUACCUCUGGUAGGCCCCUCAGGUACAUCAUGCUGCUCUGGGCCUUGUCUUAUGAUUUUUUGCUGUAUAUGGAGUCAGAUUUUUGAUCUUCUGUCCUGUAGAUUCAUGGGUGAUCAAAGCACAGACAAAGAAAUGAGCAGUUCUUGGACUUAUUCAGGAUAUGUUGACUACGGCAGAAGAUCAUCCAACCUCCGGAAGUGUCCAAAUUUGCAAGACAUGUAAUUGCCCAGAUGAUAAAGCUGGAUGCUGUGGCAAAAGGCAUAAUGGAAGGAAUGUGACUCACUUCUCACCUGUCUUUCCCAAAGUGUGCUGGCAGCCAAGUAUGACAUUUGAGACAGUUUCAAAAGACUGUUUCUCUUCUCAAAUAAAAUGAAGCUUUAUUCAGAUACUCCUUUUAAUUCUGAAGUCUGAAAGAGGCCAUGUACUUAACAUCCUCAGA